CCCGGAAUGUAGACUGGAAUAGAACCUGUACAGAUCCAGCACCCCAAUAUGGCGGCGACGACUGCCGCAAACCACGUCAAGCAAUAGGUUGCCAUACUGUCUGCGCAAGACGCAGCCCUUAACAAGGAAGAAGACAUCCGCAGGAGUGAAUUCCACCAGUACCACAAUGUUCACCGUAUUUCAAUGUCAAGAAAUAGACACUCUGUUGGCCUCACGUGUAGUUGACCUGGGACUCUUGUCAACGAUCUCUGUGAUAUUAUCUUGUUGGUUUGCCAAUCUGUCAUCCGUAAUUUAGCUCACCAUUAUGCUACAAUGGUAUGGGAAUUUAUGUUUAAUAUUAAAAACUGGGACAAAAUGGAUAAAUUCCAACAUGUAAUAACGUGUUCAUCUGAUAUUGUAUAUAUAGGAGUUUAGAUGAGAUUUGAGUUCUUGGGUACAUUAAUAUCUUGUUUAUAGAGAAGUCACCGCCGUGAUAUUGCUGGAAUAUUGAUACAAGCGGCGUAAAAAGCAAACUCACUCACUCACUAUAGAGAAGUCAGCUGUGGUCGAGAUAUAAAUAUGGCCUUUGGGAACCUUAACGCUGUCUCUUCUAUUCUCGUUGAUGGGGAUUAGUUUAAGCUGUAUGGUUCCGUCUAAAUAUUAUGCAGUGAUGCAGUUUCGUUGAAGACGAAAUGAUUAACUUUAAGGUUUCACCCAAAAAUUUGAAUCACUUUACCCCAUGUGUAUAUAUCUAGUACUGUUGUGCCUGAACUUGUCGUGUUAUGCAUUAUUGGUAUUAUUGUGUAUAAUCCAAUACGACACAUAUUUUUAAGUUAUAUACAUCAUAUCUGACCUCAUGGGCAGUUGAUACAGAGACUGAGUAAGAAACAAUGCUUACAUGACAGUAAACCUUGUCAACGUUCAUUGUUUCUCUUUCCCUAUUGAUGCCGGGGUCUGCCAUCCAUAUUUUAGAUAACUGUUAUGUCAAAUUAACUGAUGGUGUUUAGAAAAAUAAUUCCUUUGAAACAUUCUGUUCACACCGAAAACAUAACAAAUGCGUAACAGACCUAGAGUUCAAUGGAACUUUAUUGAAAACGUUUCUUGAAAGUAGGUCCCACAUGCACUAUUUACUUGACAUCAUACCAUAGUAUGUAUAUGAAUACAUCUUUAGUAAACGAUGAGUAUGUGUAAGUGUAAUGUGUAAUACAUUGUUCUUUGUCGUCCAAUAAACUAUGUCUCCGUGU
Long non-coding RNA from Haliotis rubra (blacklip abalone), 1223 nucleotides. RefSeq lists it as uncharacterized. The transcript has 2 exons. The record is from RefSeq and is a predicted model, not a curated record. NCBI's taxonomy places the organism in Eukaryota, Metazoa, Mollusca, Gastropoda, Lepetellida, Haliotidae.